AAUCAACGCUGGCGGCGUGCCUCAGACAUGCAAGUCGAACGCGAAAGACGCCUUCGGGCGUCGAGUAGAGUGGCGCACGGGUGAGUAACACGUAGGUAAUUUGCCUUUGGGUGGGGAAUAACAACCGGAAACGGUUGCUAAUACCGCAUAAUGCAGCGGCUCCGAGUGGAGACAGUUGUUAAAGCGGGGGAACUUCGGUCCUCGCGCCUGAAGAGAAGCCUGCGGCAGAUUAGCUAGUUGGUGAGGUAAUGGCUCACCAAGGCGACGAUCUGUAACC
This 277-nucleotide ribosomal RNA is filed under the name uncultured bacterium. RNAcentral's name for it is "partial 16S ribosomal RNA". It matches the Rfam family "Bacterial small subunit ribosomal RNA", at positions 32 to 288 of the family's 1533-position model. The record is from RNAcentral.